This 572-nucleotide ribosomal RNA is filed under the name Bacillus cereus. Its description in RNAcentral is "bacterial SSU rRNA". It matches the Rfam family "Bacterial small subunit ribosomal RNA", at positions 1 to 552 of the family's 1533-position model. Lineage: Bacteria; Bacillati; Bacillota; Bacilli; Caryophanales; Bacillaceae. The record is from RNAcentral.
UUUAUUGGAGAGUUUGAUCCUGGCUCAGGAUGAACGCUGGCGGCGUGCCUAAUACAUGCAAGUCGAGCGAAUGGAUUAAGAGCUUGCUCUUAUGAAGUUAGCGGCGGACGGGUGAGUAACACGUGGGUAACCUGCCCAUAAGACUGGGAUAACUCCGGGAAACCGGGGCUAAUACCGGAUAACAUUUUGAACUGCAUGGUUCGAAAUUGAAAGGCGGCUUCGGCUGUCACUUAUGGAUGGACCCGCGUCGCAUUAGCUAGUUGGUGAGGUAACGGCUCACCAAGGCAACGAUGCGUAGCCGACCUGAGAGGGUGAUCGGCCACACUGGGACUGAGACACGGCCCAGACUCCUACGGGAGGCAGCAGUAGGGAAUCUUCCGCAAUGGACGAAAGUCUGACGGAGCAACGCCGCGUGAGUGAYGAAGGCUUUCGGGUCGUAAAACUCUGUUGUUAGGGAAGAACAAGUGCUAGUUGAAUAAGYUGGCACCUUGACGGUACCUAACCAGAAAGCCACGGCUAACUACGUGCCAGCAGCCGCGGUAAUACGUAGGUGGCAAGCGUUAUCCGGAAUU